This is an RNA transcript of Helianthus annuus (common sunflower), 5616 nucleotides long. It is a transcript of the gene named sister chromatid cohesion protein PDS5 homolog A-A, with no coding region annotated. The transcript is spliced from 31 exons. The record is from RefSeq and is a predicted model, not a curated record. NCBI's taxonomy places the organism in Eukaryota, Viridiplantae, Streptophyta, Magnoliopsida, Asterales, Asteraceae.
ACACACACACACAGACUUCAUACGCUCUCGGUUCCCCCUUUUCUUCUUCUUCUUCUUCUAUCUCUCAGAUGUCGAUUUAAACACAAAAUUCAAAAGUAACCCUGAGUUCUUAACCACAAACCAUGGCUCAAAAGCUGCAAAUUCAACUCAAGCAAGUUGGAUCCAGCCUUCAAAACCCACCUGCAAGUAAAGAUGCUGUUGUUACCCUUCUAACGGAAGCUGCAGCAUCUCUCUCUGAAAUGGACCAAUCACCAUCAAAGGCGUUGUUGGAGUCUAUGCAGACUCUAAUGAAUGCUAUUGUCAAGCCAGAGUAUCUAAAACAUCAAGACGAACAAGUUAAGCUUCUUGUUGCAGCAUGCACUUGUGAGAUAACCAGAAUUACCGCCCCUGAAGCCCCAUAUGACGAUGAUGUUUUGAAGGACAUCUUUCAUUUGUUUGUUAGCACUUUCAAAGGGUUAAAAGAUACCAAAGACCCGUCUUUUGGAAGGAUAGUAAACAUACUGGAUACCGUAGCAAAGUACCGAUCAUUUGUCGUGAUGUUGGAUCUCGAGUGUGAUGAUUUAGUUAAUGAAAUGUUUAAAACAUUUUUCAAUGUUGCCAGUGACGAGCAUACCGAAAUCGUUACCGUGGCGAUGGAGACAAUAAUGGCGGUUCUUUUGGAAGAAAGUGAGGAUAUCGGAGAGGACCUUUUACUCACCGUUUUAUCUGUUUUAGGCCGUGAUAAGAAAGAUGUAAGCGAAGCAGCAAGGAGGCUCGGUAUGGAAGUUAUCCGGCAAUGUGCUGGAAAACUUGAACCUGGGAUUAAGCAGUUUAUUUUAUCGUCAAUGUCCGGAGCUUCAAAACAUCAUAUCGACUACCAUGAAGUUAUCUAUGACGUAUAUCGCUGUGCUCCUCAGGUUUUAAAGAAAGUUGUGCCAAGCCUAACGAAAGAACUACUGACAGAUAAAGUAGACCUUCGCGUAAAGGCGGUGAGACUGGUAGGAGACUUGUUUGCACACAAGGGAUCCGCCAUUCCGAAGACGUUUCAGCCGAUAUUUACGGAGUUUUUGAAGAGAUCGUCCGAUGAUACCAUUGAGGUCCGGAUGUCUGUCCUUGAAAAGGUCAAACUGUGUCUGUUGUCUGACCCGUUCAGAGAAGAAGCUCCUAAGUUACUUGGUGCCCUGCGUGACCGGCUGUCGGAUGAUGAUGAAAGCAUACGGAAACAAGUGGUUGCGGUAGUUUCAGAUGUAGCUUCUCAUGAUUUAUCGUCUAUUUCAUCUGAUACCAUAAAGCUUGUUGCUGCCCACCUCGAGGACAAAUCUCUUCUUGUGAAAAAGUAUACGUUGGAGAGGCUAUCUGAUAUCUACCGAAUCUCGUGUUUGAAGCAACAUGGUGGAUCGAACUUAAAUGAUGACUACGACUGGAUUCCUGGAAGAAUUUUGAAAUGUUUAUACGAGAAAGAUCUUGAAUCCGACACGGUUGAGCAAAUUCUAUGCACGUCUCUAUUCCCAGCUGAAUUUUCAGUCAAAGAUAAGGUUAAAAAGUGGGUCAAACUAUUUUCAAAUUUCAAUGAAGUCGAGGUGAAGGCUUUAGAGAAAUUACUGGAGCAGAAGCAAAGAUUACAAGUAGAGUUGCACAAGUAUCUUUCACUUAGGCAGACGUAUUUACAGGAUAACGACGCUUCGGAGCUACAGAAGAAAGCCGCACCGUGUAUUCGGUCUAUAUCUCAUUGUUUCGUUAAUCCCACAAAAGCAGAAGCAGAUUUUCAGCUUCUCGAUCAAUCAAAAGAUGUUGAUAACAUUUGGAAGAUAUUGACAACACUACUGGAUGCCACCACCAGUUCUCAUAAAAGUCGAGCCCUUCGGGAUGAGUUGCUUAAGAUUGUUGACGAGAAGCAUCCUCUUUACGAACUUUUAAGCACUCUCUCUAUAAAAUGCUCAUACACAAUCUUCGAUAAGGAGUUUGUCAAAGAUCUUGUUCUCGAGACUGACCUACAGAAAAGUGAUGGGAACAAAACAUUAACUAAGGCUUGCAUGGAUAUACUUGCGAUCGUUGGGUGCUUCAGUCCUUUGCUGUUAAGCGGGAUGGAAAAUGAUUUGGCCCAUCUUCUUGAGGACGAUGAUGAGGUAAUCAAGGAAGGCGCUUUGCACGUACUAGCAAAAGCUGGUGAAACCAUUCGUGAACAAUCGGGAGAAUCAUCUAGUUCGUUAGACCUUAUACUUGAAAGAAUAUGCUUAGAGGGUACUAGGAAGCAGGCGAAGUAUGCGGUACACGCGUUAGCAGCCAUUACAAAGGAUAAAGGGCUCAAAUCACUUUCGGUUCUAUAUAAGCGAUUAGUGGAUAUACUAGAGAAGAGGACAAAUCUGCCUUCUGUUUUACAGUCUUUAGGGUGUAUAGCACAGAUUGCAAUGCCGGUUUUCGAAACACAAGAGAGUAAAGUCAUCGGCUUUAUAAGAAAAUCUAUCUUAAGUUGUGGUCAGAAAACUGGAGAUAAAGCGAAAGAAUCAUGGGAUGCCAGAAGCGAACUCUGUUCAUUAAAGAUAUUUGGCAUUAAAACUCUGGUGAAGAGCUACCUGCCAGUAAAAGAUGCACAUCUUCGUGUCGGCAUCGAUGAGCUGUUAAAAGAUCUUCAGAAUUUGCUUUCUUUUGGGGAAAUUUCAAAAGAUGUUGAAUCAAGUUUUGUUGAUAAGGCUCAUUUAAAGCUAGCUUCAGCUAAGGCCAUUAUACGUCUAUCGAAGCACUGGGAUAAGAAAAUUCCCAUCGAUUUAUUUCACCUUACCAUGAGAACAUCAGAGGUUGGAUUCCCCGAGGUUAAGAAACUAUUUCUCAACAAAGUACACCAGUACAUAAAAGACAAGAGUUUGGACUCCAAAUAUGCCUGUGCCUUCUUAUUAGAUUUCGGACCCCAAAACACUAUUCUCGAAGAGGAACAUCAGAAUUUGAAAGAAAUCAUCGAGAUGUGCGACCCGGAGUACAUUCUUCCGUACUUGGUCCAUGCACUUGCACAUCAUCCUUCAUGUCCAAAAAUCGAUGAAUGCAAGGAUAUCAAAGCAUAUGAACCGAUAUACAGGAAGUUGUACGUAUUUUUUUCUAAGUUAGCAGCUGGAGACGAAGAUGGUCUAAGAAGGGAAGAUAUAAAUUCAAUAAAUUCUGUUGUUCGAAGUAUCAAGAGAUUCGAAGAUGCUGUAGAUACAAAUAUGACAAAGAACUCGCACGCAAUCUGUGAUCUAUGCUUGUCGAUCACGAAGCGGUUAGCAAGAAACAACAAAGAUGUUAAUGAGUCGGUUGUACGCGUUUCUCUUCCGCAAGUCUUGUACGCACCACACAAGAAUAAAGAAAAUGAGAAUAAAGAAGACGGAAAGAAAGAAGAAAUCACCGAAGAUGAUAAGAAACAAGAGAUCAAAGAAGACGAGAAGAUAGAAAAAACCGAAGAAGACGAAAACAAACAAGAGAUCGACACAGAGGUUGCUGAAGGUCAAACAUGGCUGGCUGACGAGAACGCUCUUGCGUACUUUGAGUCCCUUAUCUUGGAAGCUAAUGGCGAUGUUCCGUCAAUAUCCAACGAGGAUGAUUUUCUGAAGGACAGUGAAAACGACGUGCCGUUAGGAAAAAUGUUAAAACUUCUAAAAGCUAAAGGAUCAAAGGCAAAAAACAAAAAGGUAGUGAAUAACGGAUCUGCGCCUGCUGUCGUGGAAGCUGAAAAUAACAUCGACAUAUUGGGAAUGUUAAAAGAAAUAAACUCGGAUAAUGCGGACGUGUCAAAUAAAUUCGAGUCAAGCAAUGGGCAUGGUAAAAUAUCAAGUGAAACAAAGCUCAAGAGGAAAAGCGUGGCUAACGAUCUAAGCAAUGUCUCAGUACCAAAACGUCGGAGAUCAUCCCCUGCUAAGGGUCAAAAGAGAUCAACUUAUGUAACUACCACAUUUAAUAUCAAUAAAAUGGAAGAUGAUUCACAUGAUGAUGAUGAUGAUGAUAAGGUUACUUUGAAAGCAAGUACCAACAAAGCUUCCGUACAUAAAAAAGACUCCACUAACACUGACGAACGUGAUACGAAGCCUAAAAAGCCCGUGGAGGCUGAUAAUAAUCAGAAGUCAGGGCCCAUAAGGAAGCGGAAGAGAAGACGGAUUUCCGGAUUAGCGAAGUGCACCGUGGAUGAAACUCCAACUCACAAGACAGACUUGGUUGGCAGACGCAUACAAGUCUGGUGGCCUAUGGAUAAGGCGUUUUAUAAAGGUGUUGUGAAGUCUUACGAUCCUGAAAAGAAAAAACAUGUGGGGUAUUUUGUCUUUUCACAUAAAGAGAAAAAUACCGAAUUGCCCUUUAAGUUAGCAAAAAAGACGGAAAAUACCCCUGACUUAACGGAGAAAAAUGGAUGGAGUUAACGGCGAGAUGAAAAUGGCAAGAUUUCAAACCUUUUGGAUCCAGAUGCGGAAAAACAAGCCUUUGGACGAAAGUCGCAAAACUGGCCAACCUCAGGGACGAAAAUGGCAUUUUACUCUUUAUUUAGAUUUCUUUUUAUUUCAACUAAUUCCUAUCAUGUUGAAGGUAUCAUACGAUGACGGGGAUGUCGAAGUGCUACAACUAGACAAAGAGCGAUGGGAAUUUGUUGAGAAUGAGCACAAGCCUAAACAGCCUAAGCGACUGUCAACUAGUUCACCCUCUAAAGGAGGAUCAUCUAAGAAGAAACUCAAGUCAUCGGGUAGCUCCAAAAAAGCCAAGGAAUCGGCCGAAAUAUCACCGUCAUCUACUGUACGAGGCAAAAGAACUCCACGAAAAAAUUUGAAGCAAGGACAAAAGGGGGUGUCACAAAGAGCUGAAUAUUUGGAAAUAGAGAAAAGCAAGGAUCUUGAUACGUUAAUGCAUGAGGCCGAACCUGAAGUCAACACCAAGCCUACCAAAGUUUCUAAAGAUGAUAGUUUGGACACCGAAGGGAAAACGUCGAGUAAUGAACACGACGAGAGCUCAGAAGGCGAGGAGGAUUCCGACAAGGUGAAAAAAUCAAGUCCCGUGAAGAAACAAAUAAAAGAUGCCGAGAGUAGCUCAAGUGAUACCGCAUCCUCUCAGGGAAUCGAAGCUGAAUCUGCGAAGAAAGAAACCGAAAAGGCUGACAUUGUAGAAACCGAUAAAUCUCAUAAGGAAGAAGAUGAAAAUAACAACUCAGAUUCAGGAGGUGAAUCAGCCGAUGCACAAACACCUGAGGACAAAAAGGGAUCAACUUCCGAUGCGGAGUUCCCUGACGACGAGCCGCUUGUUGUUUGGAAGUCUCGAGUUGGAAAAACCGUUAAAGGCAAAUAACGUGUGAUCCGGAGGUAUAAUAUCUUGUUCAGUUAGGUCUAGUCUGAAGACAUGCAGAAGAUGACAAACAGUAUUUACAACCAAUUGUUACAACACCAAUAAACGGUUAGUCAGUGAUUACGUGCCCCAGAUGUUCUGGGGCCGGAAUCGUGUUUAUGUAGUAAUGUAGUAGUAUUCUUUCUGUUGAUUGUAACUGGUAGUUUUAAGUUUACAGCAGCUAGUGCAGUAGCACAUAGUUGACUUGUAGUGGAGUAAUGUAACUUGUAUUGCUUUGUAGAUUUUACUUUGCUUUGUUAUGUGUACAUUGUGGUGGUGGUAUAUCAUCAAAGAUAUUUUAGACCAAAA